CUUUGAAGAAGGUCCUCAACAGCCCUAACAUCUGACCUCCAUAUCCUACUCUAUCUCCUUUCUCUUUCCCACAGCCCCCUGAUGAAGUUGUGUUAAAUUAUUUGCUAACACUCUGCUCUUAUUUACCCAUAAAUUUGAAAAACUGAUCAUGUAGUCAUUGAUAAAAAGGAUAAAAUUAUUGCAUGAUGUAAAGGAUGGCUUGGAGACACUAUAGAAACAUGUUUGUAAAUUGAUAGUGAUCCACAGUGAAAAUAUUGCUUACCUGGAGUUUAUUCCUGUGUUAGCCCAAGCAGAUCUUUGUUUGGGGUUGUAGUGGACAGAUCAUAAAGUGACCCCCUCCUAGUGUUCCUCUUCUGGUGUUCACGCCCUUGUAUAUCUCCUCCCCUUGAGUUUGGGUGCUACUUAUGAGUUGCUUCUAACCAGUAGAAUAUGGCAAUGGUGAUGCAGUGUCUCUCCUCGAUUGUUAAGUUUUAUACCUUGUCUUGCUAGAGACUCUCUCUUGCUGGCUUUGAAGAGAUAAGUAGCCAUGUUAGAAGGCCCACCUACCAAGGGGGUGAGGGUGGCCUCUAGGAGCUGAGGAUUGCCUCUAGCCAACAGCCAGAAGGAAGCUAGGGCUCUUGGUCUCACAGCCAUAAGUAAGUAAAUUCUGCCAACAACCUGAGAGAAAUUGGAAAAGGAUACUUCUCCAGUCAGGCCUCCAGAUGAAAACACAGCCUGUCUGAUAGUUAGAUUAUUGCAGCCUGAACCCAGAGAAUCCAGCUAAGCCUUGACCAUGUUCUUGACCCACAGAAAUAGUAAGAUACAUAUAGUACAGACUAAAUAUAGGGUGUGUGUGUGUAUAUAUGUGUGUGUAUGUAUAUAUAUAUAACAUACAGUGUAUAUAGUAAAUAUAUAGUGAUGUAGUAAAUGUAUAUAUAUAUUUUUUGUAAGACACUAUGAUUGUAGCAGUUUGUUAGCAUAGAAAACUAAUUCAGGGUCUUAUAGUGAGUAAACAAACCAUUUAGAUAUGUGCCUUGGUUCUGAUCCCUGCUUCAGAUUAUAUUGCCUCUUUAGUCAGAUGGCUGAUUCAGAACUCAGAAGAGGUAGGAUCUAAGAUAAGUCCCAUUAAACUAUGACCAACAAUUUCCUUUCCUUCUCUAUGCUUCCUUUUCUCAUCUGUAAAAUGAGAACAUCAUAGUGGAUGAGCUCUAAGGAAACUUUCAGCUCAAGUAUUUUAUGCCUACUGCCCACAAAGACGAAGAUACCCUUGAAAUAAAUUUGAACUGAGGGGAAGCAGAAAAUAAUGAAGUUUGGAAAUAAUGAAACAAAAAUGAGCAAAUAUUGAAGGCUAAAAGGAAAUACAGCUUAGAAUAGAAAGUUUAAGAAGCCCAUACACUGAUAGACCCCAGAAAAGUCAAUGAAAUGAAAUGAUCCAGGCAGUUACAGAAGUGAUGCUGGCACAUCCAGCCAAGUGGGCAAUGGAACCACUAGUACCUCCCAUCUUGGUUUUAUGGACUUCAUUCUGAAGACAUCUGGGGAUGGGGGUGUUUAAUCUAGCUCAGAUCAUUUCCAGUGAAAGAAAAAAGAACUUACCUUUAGCCCAAAUCUGAGAAACUUUGCGCAGAAAUGCUCUUCAUGUCCUCCACCCCUAAUAACAGUCGUUGCUCGUUAUUAGACCACUGUCCUGGCUUCUGGUUAGUCGGAAGAGCAGAGCCAGUGUUCCUAGAAGUAAACCAGACCAACAAACUCAUGUGAAAUAGUUUUUUGGGUCUCCAUUUUCUAAUGCUACAUAAAGAAAGGCUUUGAAUAGCACUGGAUUCUGGGAAGAACCAUGGAGAGUAUUUUCUAAGAUUUCAAGUCAAUGGAUAUAACUGAGAACAUAAAUUCUAAAACCAUCAUAAGCUGAAUGCUGGAAAAAGAGAAGCAAGUGUUCUUUUCAGUAUGAAGAAAAAAAAAAUGCCCUGCUCAUUAAGACCUUAGAAUGAAUCUACUCUUACAAGUCUAAUCCAUGAAUAAACUAAGAAAUAGAACUUUGCUGAAAAAUUCCUCAAGGAUUUACAAGUUGCUGUAAGUCCCCAAGGAGUGGGGUUUGAGCUAUAAAGUUGCCUGAGGUACACAAGUCUGUACAGUGUAGUAAGAAUUUGGAAACUGACAUCUGUCCACAACAAAGACACUACUGAUACCAAAAUCAGAGCUAUCUGGCUUUCUGUCCCCAUGUUAAAUAGUCCUUAGUGUGGGUUUAAGGGUAGCUUAAUGGUUGCUGGCUUAAGAAAGAGGGAAUUUUGAGCGACUGUUAGAUGUGUUAAAGCAGAAGAGCCAAUCUAGAUUUCUUAAAAACCUAGGAUUUUAAAUCAUUUAAUUUAUUAUCUUAAACUGAUCAUAUAAUUCAUCCAAUCAUAUUCAAAAUUCUUAACUACUUAGAAACAUAUCCAUAAUAAUGGAAUAAUUCUUUGCCAACUCUUAGAUUUUGUAACAAACUCAGCUGAACAUUCAGUGUGUUAUUUUGGAUGGACAUCAGUUAAAAACACAGUCAUGAAACUGGACUAUAGUAAGACUAAGGACAUUGACAGUCUUGCAUAUAUUAUACCAGUCUCUGCUGCUCAAUCCAUUAGUGAAGCCUGUGUCGGCCAAAUUCAACAUUCCUUUCUUCCUCAACUGAGGAAGAAUCCAAUUUGGAAGAAUGGGAGAUAGGAAAAUAAUCAACUCUGGGGGCAUAAGAAUGCCUGGUCAGAGUAAGGAUUAUUUUAUCUUCUGCAUUAUUUUAAUAAUUAGACCAAGUCAAAAAUCUUGAAGUCAGUGAUCAGUAGUCAUCGUACCACCUUAAACAGACAGCCCAAUGCCCAUCAGAUGGAGAACCUCAGGGAAAUGUUUCAUGACCCUUAGAUCUCCUCAGGAUGGCCUUUUUAUUUACCUUUGAGUUCAGUCAGACUUGCUAGUUCACAUUCAAGAAUUCAAUAAAAGAAUAUUUUUAGAAAUUUCAGUAUAUUUAAUUACAUACCGAACACUCAUUCACCAAAAAAAAAAAGUAUUGGUAUCCAACCAUGUUUAAAACAUCUUGCCAGUUAGAGAGAUCAGUUUGGGGAGAGAGAGAAGGAAGUAAGACAUAUCUCCUGGCCUCUAAGAAUACCUAGUCCUAGUGCAAGAAAUGAGAUGUGGUCACAUACAACCACAAUACAAGGUAAGAUGCGCUGUAAGAGAAGUACAGGCAGGACACAGUGUGAGUUUGAGGAAUGAAGGAUUAUUUGGGAUUGGCAGGAUUCUAAAAUAUUCAACAGUAUUUGUCAUUGAUUUCACAAUAUGGAGAUAAGUAUCAGAUUUAUCUUAGAAUCAAGGAUCUCAGAAAUAAGAGAAUUCUGAGAAAUGGAAUCCAAUCCUCUAUUCCAUGGGUUCUUAAGUAGAAAUCCAUGGACCGACUUUAAGGUAUUUGGACCCCCCCUGUAUUGCCUCUUAUUCUCUAUUCCCUUUGAAAUCUCACCCUCUUCUAUCCUGUCAUUAAAUAUUGAAGUUCAUCGAAUGUUUAUCUCAGGCCCAUUCAUCCAUAGCCAUGAUGUCAAUGGCUAAAAAUAGCAGUUAUUCCUAAAUUUAUCUCUCUAGUCAAGAUCUCAUCUCUAAGUUCCAUAUAUUUCACUGCCUACUUGACAUCUCCACUGGGAAAACACAACAUGUCCAAGAGAUACCUCAUAAUCUUCCCCCUCAGUCCUGGUCCUCUUUUAUAGUUACCUGCUGCAUUCAUCUUUAAGCCCCCACAACCCUAUCCCCACACACAGAAAUUAGAUCUUCUUUUAUCAACUCAUGUCUAAUCAUGUCACACUUUAAGAUCCUUCAACAGCCUCCCACUGCUUAUGAUUUACAGACCAAAGCCUACACAAGGCUUCAUGAUUUGGGAUGCUGUUGGCUGCAAAUAACAGAACCCUCACUCAACUAGCCUAAAUGAUAAUGUUGUCACUUAACACAAGGUCCUUAAAAUAGUGGCUCCAGAUGGAUCAUCAGUAUCUUUAAGGACCCAAUUUUCUUUCAUCUUUCUUCUCUACCAUUGAAUUUUUUUUAAGAUUUCUGGUUUAUGUUCACCAUGGGUUAAUCGUGAAAGAAAAAUUUUCUUUCCAUGUCAAUCCCUCCUUGAAUUGUUAUUUAAAGUGUUUUCAUUUUGUCCUUUAAUUGUGGUGAGGGCACUUUUACAAGGAACUUUCAAGUAUGAUUAGAUAAGGUCCCAUGGGAUAUGUUAUUUCACCAAGGUGCACAUUUUUGAGAACUACCACCCUGGUCACAUGACCAAAAACCAUCAUAGGCCCCUACCAACUUAUCUAUAAAGCCUCAGCAGACAGUGAGUAUCAAGGUCAGAAGCCUUCAGUUGUAUUGGACUGAAAUGUUUAAUAGUGUUCAGUCAAGCAUGGCUGCCUUCCAGUAAGAUAAAAUAUUCAUCAAUUGUGAGUCAUAAAUUCUCCCCUUGCCUUGUACUUUGCUAUAGUGAAUGGGAACAGGACUGUAAUUCAAGGGAUAGAUAAGGAAAUAAAAAGGAAUAUAAGUAUAAUUUCUUAUUUUAGAGCCAUAUUGUGGGGAGAAGCACACCAGGCAGAAAGGCACCAUGAGAUACCUUCCUUGGAAUGGCACAAUGGUGACAGCAACACAGUUUGCCAACCUAAACACACUAGGUUCUGAUCCAAUAUCAACUGCAAAAAAGAAUUUGAUAAACAGAAAGUCAUUUGCAGUGAAAAAUGCUUUGUUGCUGGAGUUCCCAUGGUGGCACAGCAGAAAUGAAUCCGACUAGGAACAAUGAGGUUGCAGGUUCAAUCCCUGGCCUCACUCAGUGGUUUAAGGAUCUAGCAUUGCUGUGAGCUAUGGUGUAUGGUGUAGAUUGCAGACGUGACUCAGAUCCUGCAUUGAUGUGGCUGUGGUGUAGGUCAGCAGCUGUAGCUCCAAUUAGACCCCUAGCCUAGGAACCUC
This 4920-nucleotide long non-coding RNA is filed under the name Sus scrofa (pig). RNAcentral's name for it is "lncRNA (ENSSSCG00035069791.1, ENSSSCG00105004299.1)". The record is from RNAcentral. Lineage: Eukaryota; Metazoa; Chordata; Mammalia; Artiodactyla; Suidae.